Molecule: ribosomal RNA, 512 nt
Filed under: uncultured bacterium
Lineage: Bacteria
Description: bacterial SSU rRNA
Rfam family: Bacterial small subunit ribosomal RNA
Source: RNAcentral
AGAGUUUGAUUCUGGCUCAGGAUGAACGCUAGCUACAGGCUUAACACAUGCAAGUCGAGGGGUAGCAGGGUAGCAAUACCGCUGACGACCGGCGCACGGGUGAGUAACACGUAUCCAACCUUCCCAUAACUCAGGGAUAGCCUUUCGAAAGAAAGAUUAAUACCUGAUAGUACUUUUUCAAGGCAUCUUGAGAAAGUUAAAGAUUUAUUGGUUAUGGAUGGGGAUGCGUUCCAUUAGAUAGUUGGUGAGGUAACGGCUCACCAAGUCUUCGAUGGAUAGGGGUUCUGAGAGGAAGGUCCCCACAUUGGUACUGAGACACGGACCAAACUCCUACGGGAGGCAGCAGUGAGGAAUAUUGGUCAAUGGGCGAGAGCCUGAACCAGCCAAGUAGCGUGAAGGAUGAAGGUCCUAUGGAUUGUAAACUUCUUUUAUAGUAGAAUAAAGUGAUCCACGUGUGGAUUUUUGUAUGUAUACUAUGAAUAAGGAUCGGCUAACUCCGUGCCAGCCGCUGC